UAAGAGUGUUGAUGUCUUGCAGUGGAAUUUGAAUGUAAUCUAGAACUACACCUUUCACUCAUUUCACUUUUUGAAGGUGCAGCAGCCAAAUCGCACAAGCUCGGCUGCCUCUGAGGCUGUCAGGGCCCACCUGACACCCCCUUCAUCAGGUGUGCAGCGCUUUAAUGCCAACAGAGAUAAACAAAUCAACAUUCACUACUGAGCUCCAAUACCGCCACCUACCUGCGUAGGAUGUUAUAGGUGAGCAUGUGCAGGCAGACAGGAGGAAAUAGAAAGCAAAGAAGAAGAUAAAUGAGAUCUGACAGGAUGACAUCUGACAGCAGACGGACCAGCACAGGCCUGUUCAGACUGAUUUCCUUUCUUCUGCUUUCCACACACAUAUACAGCAUGCUGUACAGUUAGACACAGAAGAAAAUACUGGAGACUGAAUUAUAGGUUUCAAAUGGGGAAGAAAAAAACAACCCCCCCCCCCAAAAAAAAAC
Ictalurus punctatus (channel catfish) is the source of this 482-nucleotide long non-coding RNA. NCBI's taxonomy places the organism in Eukaryota, Metazoa, Chordata, Actinopteri, Siluriformes, Ictaluridae. The record is from Ensembl.